UACGAAGGGGGCUAGCGUUGCUCGGAAUCAUUGGGCUUAAAGGGUGCGUAGGCGGGCUCGUGAGUCAGGGGUGAAAUCCCACGGCCCAACCGUGGAAGUGCCUCUGAUACCGCGGGCCUCGAGGGGGAUAGGGGCGUGCGGAACUUCCGGUGGAGCGGUGAAAUGCGUAGAUAUCGGAAAGAACACCAACGGCGAAAGCACUCUGCUGGGCCGACACUGACACUGAGAGACGAAAGCUAGGGGAGCGAAUGGG
Molecule: ribosomal RNA, 253 nt
Filed under: uncultured bacterium
Lineage: Bacteria
Description: partial 16S ribosomal RNA
Rfam family: Bacterial small subunit ribosomal RNA
Source: RNAcentral